This is a long non-coding RNA of Amphiprion ocellaris (clown anemonefish), 1351 nucleotides long. NCBI's taxonomy places the organism in Eukaryota, Metazoa, Chordata, Actinopteri, Pomacentridae. The record is from Ensembl.
AGACGGCGUGGAAACGGAAACAACAGGUAUGCCGGCUCACUGUGCUGCAUACAGUUACACACUACGUCGUACGAUUGAGACAAGGAAACUUGGAAUGACUUUUCAUAGGUUUCCCAGAGACUAUGGGUUGAGGAGGAAUUGGAAGUUUGUCGGCUUAGACCUGGUGUCAUUCCAUCAGUGUUAAACUUCCCGGCUCAUCUUGGAAGAGUACGUGCCAGAAAGACCACGACCAAGCAGCCUUGAGAUCUUAGACAGCGUCUCCCUGAGGACAAUUCAAAGGUCCCUCUCUAUCUCCCUACACAUCCACCAACCACUGGAACACAUCUCCAAAGUUCUGCCGGGCCAGCUCAGCUUCCCCUCAGAAGAAGUGCAACCACCUGCCAGAUGAAGGAGCGUUUUGAGAGGCAGCUGGCAUCGUGAUUGGACUGUACUUUGGUCUGUUCCAAUCCAGCUUCAGCUCCAGAGACGGCAGGCGGGACGAGUCAACGGAGGCCUGGUGGACGAAGACAUGCAGCUGAGUACAAUCCAGAAAACAACAGAGGAGGAGUGCAGGGCCAGAACAAGCAGAGUAGCAUCGUAUGUCUCUUAUAGGGGCUUUCGACCGGGGUGGAGCCCGUUCGGAGUCGGAGCCGGUGCCCGACUUGGCACCGGGUUUUUGUCUUUCCACCACCGGAGCUGCGGCUCCGGGCUCCAAAAACUGGGGCUGUUUCGGGCACCAACUCGUUGCUGGGCCAGAGAUGGCCAGAGUUGAGAACCGAGCAUGUCACGGGCAGGGGGCGGGGUGACAUCUAAAAACAUCUAAAAAGAUAAACAUAGAUAUGAUCAUCAACUUAUUGCGCGUUUAAAUGCUCAGUAAUCAAUGCAAGCGUAGUCGAAGCUAAGUAGCUAAGCUAAUGCUAACACAUUUACUGUUAAGUAUCCAAACAUCUUUGGUAAUUACCUUUCUUCUCAAACGUGAUCGCCGGGCAUUGGAACGGCGAUGCCGAUGGGUAACCCCUAACAGAAGGUUUUUCUGUUCAACGAUGGCAAGGCACACUAGCAAAGCCAUGAACACCACUCCAAUGAAGUCCUCAAUUGUUGUUGUGUGGGCUUCUGUACGGCGCGAACGCUGUUGAACGGCUACGUACGCAGUGACGUACACACGUUUUGUGGUGGCGCAAUGACGCAGCUCCAACUUUGCUCCUUCCGAAUGGAAACACAAACCGGUUCUGGGGCGGCAUGAGAUUUGAACCAAAAAAGCACUGGCUCUCAACUUUGAACCAACCUAGCACCUGGUGCUCUUUGGUCGAAAGCCCCUCUUAGAAAACAUCAUAGUAUAGCCUUUGGUAUGAAAAAACGCCAUCAUAUACAU